Molecule: ribosomal RNA, 303 nt
Filed under: uncultured bacterium
Lineage: Bacteria
Description: partial 16S ribosomal RNA
Rfam family: Bacterial small subunit ribosomal RNA
Source: RNAcentral
AGCAGCAGCCGCGGUAAUACGAAGGGGGCUAGCGUUGUUCGGAUUUACUGGGCGUAGAGGACGCGUAGGCGGACUGAUAAGUCAGGGGUGAAAUCCCAAGGCUCAACCUUGGAACUGCCUUUGAUACUGUUUGUCUUGAGUUCGAGAGAGGUAAGUGGAACUGCGAGUGUAGAGGUGAAAUUCGUAGAUAUUCGCAAGAACACCAGUGGCGAAGGCGGCUUACUGGCUCGAUACUGACGCUGAGGCGCGAAAGCGUGGGGAGCAAACAGGAUUAGAUACCCCUGUAGUCCCUGUCUCUUAUAC